CCUGUUCCCAUGCCGAACACAGCCGUUAAGCUCUCUAGCGCCGAUGGUAGUUGGGGUUCUUCCCCUGUGAGAGUAGGACGCUGCCGGGC
RNAcentral lists this ribosomal RNA (89 nucleotides) under Halalkalibacillus sediminis. The record is from RNAcentral. Lineage: Bacteria; Bacillati; Bacillota; Bacilli; Caryophanales; Bacillaceae.